Molecule: ribosomal RNA, 913 nt
Filed under: uncultured archaeon
Lineage: Archaea
Description: bacterial SSU rRNA
Rfam family: Archaeal small subunit ribosomal RNA
Source: RNAcentral
CCGGGUUGAUCCUGCCGGAGGUCACUGCUAUUGGGAUUCGACUAAGCCAUGCGAGUCGAGAGGGUUUGGCCCUCGGCUGACGGCUCAGUAACACGUGGAUAAUCUGCCCUAAGGUGGAGGAUAACCUCGGGAAACUGAGAAUAACACUCCAUAGGUCUAGGAGGCUGGAAUGCACUUAGGCUGAAAACUUCGGUGCCUUAGGAUGAGUCUGCGGACUAUCAGGUUGUAGUCAGGGUAAAGACCUGACUAGCCUACGACGGAUACGGGUUGUGAGAGCAAUAACCCGGAGAUGAUAUCUGAGACACGAUAUCAGGCCCUACGGGGCGCAGCAGGCGCGAAAACUUCGCACUGCGCGAAAGCGCGACGAGGGAAUCCCAAGUGUAUGCACGUAAGUGUAUACUGUUUCUUUGUCUAAAAAGCAGAGAGAGUAAGAGCUGGGUAAGACGGGUGCCAGCCGCCGCGGUAAUACCUGCAGCUCGAGUGGUGAUCGUUAUUAUUGGGCCUAAAACGUCCGUAGCCGGUCUUCUAAAUGCCUGGGUAAAUCGUAUGGCUUAACCAUACGAAUUCCGGGUAGACUGUUAGACUUGAGACCGGGAGAAGCUAGAGGUACUCCUGGGGUAGAGGUGAAAUUCUGUAAUCCUAGGGGGACGACCAGUGGCGAAGGCGUCUAGCUAGAACGGGUCUGACGGUGAGGGACGAAGCCCUGGGGCGCAAACGGGAUUAGAUACCCCGGUAGUCCAGGGUGUAAACGCUGCUUGCUUGAUGUUAGUCUGGCUCCGAGCCAGAUUAGUGUCGGAGAGAAGUUGUUAAGCAAGCUGCCUGGGAAGUACGGCCGCAAGACUGAAACCUAAAGGAAUUGGCGGGGGAGCACAGCAACGGGUGGAGCGUGCGGUUUAAUUGGAUUCAACGCCGG